AAGACUGUGCUUCACAGGAUCAUUUCUGUAGGCAAGUUUUCACUACAAGUUUUUUCCGAAAGUUAAAGAUUUCCCACCCACGAUGAUGAGACGUAGU
Small nucleolar RNA from Toxorhynchites rutilus septentrionalis, 97 nucleotides. RefSeq annotates it as small nucleolar RNA U3. Lineage: Eukaryota; Metazoa; Arthropoda; Insecta; Diptera; Culicidae. The record is from RefSeq and is a predicted model, not a curated record. The transcript has a single exon.